GGGCUAAGCGUCGUAGCUGGCUGCGCAAGUCGUCGGGAAAUCCACUCGCCCAACGAGUGGGCGUCCGACGGAAACUGCACAGCUUGGGACCGGAAGGCUCGAAGGGUACGUUCGGGGUAGGAGUGAAAUCCCAUAAUCCCGCACGGACCACCGAUGGCGAAAGCACUUCGAGAAAACGGAUCCGACAGUGCAGGGACGAAAGCCACGGUCUCCAAC
This 216-nucleotide ribosomal RNA is filed under the name uncultured archaeon. RNAcentral describes it as "partial 16S ribosomal RNA". It matches the Rfam family "Archaeal small subunit ribosomal RNA", at positions 513 to 724 of the family's 1478-position model. The record is from RNAcentral.